Molecule: ribosomal RNA, 450 nt
Filed under: uncultured bacterium
Lineage: Bacteria
Description: bacterial SSU rRNA
Rfam family: Bacterial small subunit ribosomal RNA
Source: RNAcentral
AACGAACGCUGGCGGCAUGCCUAACACAUGCAAGUCGAACGAACCCUUCGGGGUUAGUGGCGCACGGGUGCGUAACGCGUGGGAAUCUGCCCUUUGCUUCGGAAUAACAGUUAGAAAUGACUGCUAAUACCGGAUAAUGUCUUCGGACCAAAGAUUUAUCGGCAAAGGAUGAGCCCGCGUAGGAUUAGCUAGUUGGUGGGGUAAAAGCUCACCAAGGCGACGAUCCUUAGCUGGUCUGAGAGGAUGAUCAGCCACACUGGGACUGAGACACGGCCCAGACUCCUACGGGAGGCAGCAGUGGGGAAUAUUGGACAAUGGGCGAAAGCCUGAUCCAGCAAUGCCGCGUGAGUGAUGAAGGCCUUAGGGUUGUAAAGCUCUUUUACCAGGGAUGAUAAUGACAGUACCUGGAGAAUAAGCUCCGGCUAACUCCGUGCCAGCAGCCGCGGUAAU